Molecule: ribosomal RNA, 253 nt
Filed under: uncultured bacterium
Lineage: Bacteria
Description: partial 16S ribosomal RNA
Rfam family: Bacterial small subunit ribosomal RNA
Source: RNAcentral
UACAGAGGGUGCGAGCGUUAAUCGGAAUUACUGGGCGUAAAGCGUGCGUAGACGGUUAUUUAAGUCGGGUGUGAAAGCCCCGGGCUCAACCUGGGAAUUGCAUUCGAGACUGAAUAGCUAGGGUACGGUAGAGGGAAGCGGAAUUUCCGGUGUAGCGGUGAAAUGCGUAGAUAUCUGAAGGAACAUCAGUGGCGAAAGCGACUUCCUGGACCAAUACUGACGCUCAUGUGCGAAAGCGUGGGGAGCAAACAGG